This 502-nucleotide ribosomal RNA is filed under the name uncultured bacterium. Its description in RNAcentral is "partial 16S ribosomal RNA". It matches the Rfam family "Bacterial small subunit ribosomal RNA", at positions 28 to 523 of the family's 1533-position model. The record is from RNAcentral.
GAUGAACGCUAGCGGCAGGCCUAACACAUGCAAGUCGAGGGGCAGCACAGAAACAGCAAUGUUUUGGUGGCGACCGGCGGACGGGUGCGUAACGCGUAUGCAACCUACCUUUAACAGGGGGAUAACGGAGAGAAAUUUCCACUAAUACCCCAUAACAUCGAUCAAGGCAUCUUGAUUGGUUGAAAACUCCGGUGGUUAAAGAUGGGCAUGCGUUGGAUUAGGUAGUUGGUGAGGUAAUGGCUCACCAAGCCUACGAUACAUAGGGGGACUGAGAGGUUAGCCCCCCACACUGGUACUGAGACACGGCCCAGACUCCUACGGGAGGCAGCAGUGAGUAAUAUUGGUCAAUGGGGGCAACCCUGAGCCAGCCAUGCCGCGUGCAGGAAGACGGCUCUAUGAGUUGUAAACUGCUUUUAAACAGGGAUAAAGCACAGUAUGUAUACUGUGUUGAAGGUACUGUAAGAAUAAGGAUCGGCUAACUCCGUGCCAGCCGCCGCCGUAA